AAGUCGUAACAAGGUUUUCGUAGGUGAACCUGCGAAAGGAUCAUUACCGAUGAAAAGCACAAACUUUUGUGUAGGCAUAGCAAGUGCAAACUUGUAGCCACUGGUGGCGAGUGCUUCGCGGCGCAACCUGUCAGUGGCGGCAGUGGCCAGUCCUGUGUGGACGAACACUGUUUUCGAGCACGUAUGUUCCCUGUGUUUAGAAAGGAACAACCAAAGCAGAACAACUGCAAACGGUGGAUCACUCGGCUC
RNAcentral lists this unclassified non-coding RNA (249 nucleotides) under fungal sp. Its description in RNAcentral is "partial internal transcribed spacer region". The stretch from base 1 to 46 matches the Rfam family "Eukaryotic small subunit ribosomal RNA", at positions 1786 to 1831 of the family's 1831-position model. Lineage: Eukaryota; Fungi. The record is from RNAcentral.